Molecule: long non-coding RNA, 1592 nt
Filed under: Homo sapiens (human)
Lineage: Eukaryota; Metazoa; Chordata; Mammalia; Primates; Hominidae
Description: non-protein coding LINC00910:3
Source: RNAcentral
GGAGGAGGGUAAAGGAAUCCACGUCCCAAGCAGAGAAGCAGCUUUCCCUACACAGCACAGGACACGGUCCGCGCACAGAAGCCGCAGGAGACGCAGGCACAGGGGCUGGGGAGAAUCCUUGCUGGGCCCUCGCCGUCCAUGCGCCGCCUCCCUCUGCCCGGUGUCUGGUGUCAGCCUCCUGCCUGGCAGAGGAACUCCAGCCCCUGCUCCCCGAAGCUCCUCCAGGCCUUCUGCUUCCCUGACUCGGAAUGGGCCCGCUGUCCAGUGGGUACAAGGCUGGUCUCCCCGCCCACUGGUGACGACGUAAAGAUCCAGCUCAGCCUGGUUUCCCCUGGUGAUGAUAUCUUGCGACUCGUCUUUCUCCAGGAAAACAGGGACCGCUCUCCGCCUACAGGUCUCUUCCACAGACCUAUCUUGUUUUCACCCCCUGUCUCUUUUGGUUCAGUCUUUUCGCUCAUACAAACAAGGAAGUCGCCCCUAGCCCAGCCGCGGCUCCUUAGCUGGAGGCGGGCCCGGGGGUGGAGUCAACCGCGGUGGCCACGCCUCCUGGGAAAGGGCAGGGCAUGCAAAUUCGAAAUGAAAGCCCGGAAACCCCGGAACUAGAACUGGUAUCUCUUCAACUACCUGUGAAAACUGAUGUGAUGAAAAGGGGAAUUUGAAGGAGCCAUUCCAGAAGACAGGGCGAAAACUGAAGUGCAAUCAGGGCCAAGAAAAACAGAAAUAGCAGGACCUGGAGUUGCAUAGGUUGAAUAGUUGAAUAGGCUGCUCUCCUCAGCUGGCAGGAAACCUGGCAGCCUCCUGGUGCCCAAGGACUGAAAACCUUAGAAGCACCUGGAGUUGGCAGCCUUGGCAUGGUCAGGUUGGCACCUCUGGAGGUGCCCAGGCUUCCCUGGCAGCAUUGUGAGCAGUGGAUGGUGUUGAAGGGCAGCCAGAGGAGGAAUGGAACACAUGCUCCUUGCUAACCACACGGACAAGGCCACGUUCACAGGUACACAAAGGCAACGCAGUUGCUCAGGUGCUUCGGUAUCACAGCCAAGACCCCUUCGGGGGAAGCUAGUCGGAUACUGGGACCCACAUUCCAGACUACUGAGCCGCGGUCGCGCCCUCGGCUCCGUUUCUGCUCCCUCCACCCCACGAGGACGGGGGUGGAAGGCCACCUUCGAUGGGUGCAUCCUCCACGAUGACCUGCUAACAAAGGUGCAUGGAUUUCAGAGUCUGAUUGGCCUACAACAGCAUUUGGCUUGUGGAGACAGUGGUUCCCUGAUGAAAAACUGCCAUGAUGGGAAUAGAAACAAUCAGAGGAAACUUCCGUGAGUUCCCAGGACACAUCCACCCACCUCCUCCACGUGUAACCACCACCUCUACCUUCCCCUCUGGUGCUGUGGAUGAGCCAUCCGUGCUCCUGGCAAAGGCCCACCUGCCACUUGGGCACAGGAACCCAUCCAUCCCUCCUUACCUCUGGUAACUCUCCCUCUCUCUCUCCUGCAUCCUUCAUAUUCUCUGGGUUGUAUUCUCUUCCAGCCCCCACCCCCUGCCCACCUCCAGCAUGUAAAAGUGCUGUUAUUGUUUCCACUUUAAAACAAACCCUAAAA